CUAAGAAUAUUCCGGCAAUGGGGGGAAACCCUGACGGAGCGACGCCGCGUGGACGAGGAAGGCCGGAAGGUUGUAAAGUCCUUUUGAACCGGAAGAAUAAGCAGUGCAGGGAAUGGCAGUGUGGUGACGGUACGGUUUGAAUAAGAGGCGGCUAAUUACGUGCCAGCAGCCGCGGUAACACGUAAGCCUCGAGCGUUGUUCGGAAUUAUUGGGCGUAAAGGGCAUGUAGGCGGUAAUCUAAGCUUGGUGUGAAAGGCAGGGGCUUAACUCCUGGACAGCAUUGAGAACUGGAUUGCUAGAGUUACUGAAGUGAAAUCAGAAUUCCAGGUGUAGGGUGAAUCUGUAGAUAUCUGG
This 354-nucleotide ribosomal RNA is filed under the name uncultured Treponema sp. RNAcentral's name for it is "bacterial SSU rRNA". It matches the Rfam family "Bacterial small subunit ribosomal RNA", at positions 355 to 701 of the family's 1533-position model. Lineage: Bacteria; Pseudomonadati; Spirochaetota; Spirochaetia; Treponematales; Treponemataceae. The record is from RNAcentral.